This 475-nucleotide ribosomal RNA is filed under the name uncultured organism. RNAcentral's name for it is "partial 16S ribosomal RNA". It matches the Rfam family "Bacterial small subunit ribosomal RNA", at positions 331 to 797 of the family's 1533-position model. The record is from RNAcentral.
GUACACUCCUGCGGGAGGCAGCAGUGGGGAAUUUUGGACAAUGGGCGAAAGCCUGAUCCAGCAAUGCCGCGUGUGUGAAGAAGGCCUUCGGGUUGUAAAGCACUUUUGUCCGGAAAGAAAUCCUUGGCUCUAAUACAGUCGGGGGAUGACGGUACCGGAAGAAUAAGCACCGGCUAACUACGUGCCAGCAGCCGCGGUAAUACGUAGGGUGCGAGCGUUAAUCGGAAUUACUGGGCGUAAAGCGUGCGCAGGCGGUUUGCUAAGACCGAUGUGAAAUCCCCGGGCUCAACCUGGGAACUGCAUUGGUGACUGGCAGGCUAGAGUAUGGCAGAGGGGGGUAGAAUUCCACGUGUAGCAGUGAAAUGCGUAGAGAUGUGGAGGAAUACCGAUGGCGAAGGCAGCCCCCUGGGCCAAUACUGAUGCUCAUGCACGAAAGCGUGGGGAGCAAACAGGAUUAGAUACCCUUGUAGUCCCA